UACGGAGGGUGCAAGCGUUAUCCGGAUUUACUGGGUUUAAAGGGUGUGUAGGCGGACUAUUAAGUCCGUGGUGAAAUCUCCGGGCUCAACCCGGGAACUGCCAUGGAUACUAUUAGUCUUGAAUGUUGUGGAGGUGGGCGGAACGGGUCAUGUAGCGGUGAAAUGCUUAGAGAUGACCCGGAACACCGAUUGCGAAGGCAGCCCACUACGCAACUAUUGACGCUGAGGCACGAAAGCGUGGGGAUCAAACAGG
Molecule: ribosomal RNA, 253 nt
Filed under: uncultured bacterium
Lineage: Bacteria
Description: partial 16S ribosomal RNA
Rfam family: Bacterial small subunit ribosomal RNA
Source: RNAcentral